UAAAAACCCCGACUUCGGAAGGGGUGUAUUUAUUAGAUACAAAACCAAUGCCCUUCGGGGCUCUUUGGUGAUUCAUGAUAACUAUACGAAUCGCACGGCCUUGCGCCGGCGAUGGUUCAUUCAAAUUUCUUCCCUAUCAACUUUCGAUGUUUGGGUAUUGGCCAAACAUGGUUGCAACGGGUAACGGAGGGUUAGGGCUCGACCCCGGAGAAGGAGCCUGAGAAACGGCUACUACAUCCAAGGAAGGCAGCAGGCGCGCAAAUUACCCAAUCCCGACUCGGGGAGGUAGUGACAAUAAAUACUGAUACAGGGCCCUUUCGGGCCUUGUAAUUGGAAUGAGUACAAUUUAAAUCCCUUAACGAGGAACAAUUGGAGGGCAAGUCUGGUGCCAGCAGCCGCGGUAAUUCCAGCUCCAAUAGCGUAUAAUAAAGUUGUUGUGGUUAAAAAGCUCGUAGUUGAACCUUGGGCCUGGCUGGCCGGUCCGCCUCACCGCGUGCACUGGUCCGGCCGGGCCUUUCCCUCUGUGGAACCCCAUACCCUUCACUGGGCGUGGCGGGGAAACAGGACAUUUACUUU
This 576-nucleotide ribosomal RNA is filed under the name uncultured eukaryote. Its description in RNAcentral is "SSU rRNA". It matches the Rfam family "Eukaryotic small subunit ribosomal RNA", at positions 174 to 758 of the family's 1831-position model. The record is from RNAcentral.